GGAACCUCGAUUGGAUUAACUCACUUAGUUGAUCAGAAUUGUUGGGAUAUCCUUUUCAAUGUACAUGUAAAUAGAGAAGAAAACCUGGAAGUAGAGAUAUUUGCUCGUUUUCUACAAGAGUUUUAUGAUAAAAUGGACCUGCUUUUCU
RNAcentral lists this ribosomal RNA (148 nucleotides) under uncultured Dinobryon. Its description in RNAcentral is "partial Eukaryotic small subunit ribosomal RNA". The record is from RNAcentral. Lineage: Eukaryota; Chrysophyceae; Chromulinales.